AGAGUUUGAUCAUGGCUCAGAUUGAACGCUGGCGGCAGGCCUAACACAUGCAAGUCGAGCGGUAGCACAGAGAGCUUGCUCUCGGGUGACGAGCGGCGGACGGGUGAGUAAUGUCUGGGAAACUGCCUGAUGGAGGGGGAUAACUACUGGAAACGGUAGCUAAUACCGCAUAACGUCGCAAGACCAAAGUGGGGGACCUUCGGGCCUCAUGCCAUCAGAUGUGCCCAGAUGGGAUUAGCUGGUAGGUGGGGUAACGGCUCACCUAGGCGACGAUCCCUAGCUGGUCUGAGAGGAUGACCAGCCACACUGGAACUGAGACACGGUCCAGACUCCUACGGGAGGCAGCAGUGGGGAAUAUUGCACAAUGGGCGCAAGCCUGAUGCAGCCAUGCCGCGUGUGUGAAGAAGGCCUUCGGGUUGUAAAGCACUUUCAGCGGGGAGGAAGGCGAUAAGGUUAAUAACCUUGUCGAUUGACGUUACCCGCAGAAGAAGCACCGGCUAACUCCGUGCCAGCAGCCGCGGUAAUACGGAGGGUGCAAGCGUUAAUCGGAAUUACUGGGCGUAAAGCGCACGCAGGCGGUCUGUCAAGUCGGAUGUGAAAUCCCCGGGCUCAACCUGGGAACUGCAUUCGAAACUGGCAGGCUAGAGUCUUGUAGAGGGGGGUAGAAUUCCAGGUGUAGCGGUGAAAUGCGUAGAGAUCUGGAGGAAUACCGGUGGCGAAGGCGGCCCCCUGGACAAAGACUGACGCUCAGGUGCGAAAGCGUGGGGAGCAAACAGGAUUAGAUACCCUGGUAGUCCACGCUGUAAACGAUGUCGAUUUGGAGGUUGUGCCCUUGAGGCGUGGCUUCCGGAGCUAACGCGUUAAAUCGACCGCCUGGGGAGUACGGCCGCAAGGUUAAAACUCAAAUGAAUUGACGGGGGCCCGCACAAGCGGUGGAGCAUGUGGUUUAAUUCGAUGCAACGCGAAGAACCUUACCUGGUCUUGACAUCCACAGAACUUAGCAGAGAUGCUUUGGUGCCUUCGGGAACUGUGAGACAGGUGCUGCAUGGCUGUCGUCAGCUCGUGUUGUGAAAUGUUGGGUUAAGUCCCGCAACGAGCGCAACCCUUAUCCUUUGUUGCCAGCGGUCCGGCCGGGAACUCAAAGGAGACUGCCAGUGAUAAACUGGAGGAAGGUGGGGAUGACGUCAAGUCAUCAUGGCCCUUACGACCAGGGCUACACACGUGCUACAAUGGCAUAUACAAAGAGAAGCGACCUCGCGAGAGCAAGCGGACCUCAUAAAGUAUGUCGUAGUCCGGAUUGGAGUCUGCAACUCGACUCCAUGAAGUCGGAAUCGCUAGUAAUCGUAGAUCAGAAUGCUACGGUGAAUACGUUCCCGGGCCUUGUACACACCGCCCGUCACACCAUGGGAGUGGGUUGCAAAAGAAGUAGGUAGCUUAACCUUCGGGAGGGCGCUUACCACUUUGUGAUUCAUGACUGGGGUGAAGUCGUAACAAGGUAACCGUAGGGGAACCUGCGGUUGGAUCACCU
RNAcentral lists this ribosomal RNA (1528 nucleotides) under Klebsiella pneumoniae. RNAcentral describes it as "16S ribosomal RNA". It matches the Rfam family "Bacterial small subunit ribosomal RNA". RNAcentral also lists the same sequence under 1 other name. The record is from RNAcentral. Lineage: Bacteria; Pseudomonadati; Pseudomonadota; Gammaproteobacteria; Enterobacterales; Enterobacteriaceae.